Molecule: ribosomal RNA, 539 nt
Filed under: Penicillium camemberti
Lineage: Eukaryota; Fungi; Ascomycota; Eurotiomycetes; Eurotiales; Aspergillaceae
Description: eukaryotic LSU rRNA
Rfam family: 5.8S ribosomal RNA (bases 160-312)
Source: RNAcentral
CUGGGUCCACCUCCCACCCGUGUUUAUUUACCUUGUUGCUUCGGCGGGCCCGCCUUAACUGGCCGCCGGGGGGCUCACGCCCCCGGGCCCGCGCCCGCCGAAGACACCCUCGAACUCUGUCUGAAGAUUGUAGUCUGAGUGAAAAUAUAAAUUAUUUAAAACUUUCAACAACGGAUCUCUUGGUUCCGGCAUCGAUGAAGAACGCAGCGAAAUGCGAUACGUAAUGUGAAUUGCAAAUUCAGUGAAUCAUCGAGUCUUUGAACGCACAUUGCGCCCCCUGGUAUUCCGGGGGGCAUGCCUGUCCGAGCGUCAUUGCUGCCCUCAAGCACGGCUUGUGUGUUGGGCCCCGUCCUCCGAUUCCGGGGGACGGGCCCGAAAGGCAGCGGCGGCACCGCGUCCGGUCCUCGAGCGUAUGGGGCUUUGUCACCCGCUCUGUAGGCCCGGCCGGCGCUUGCCGAUCAACCCAAAUUUUUAUCCAGGUUGACCUCGGAUCAGGUAGGGAUACCCGCUGAACUUAAGCAUAUCAAUAAGCGGAGGAA